Molecule: ribosomal RNA, 645 nt
Filed under: uncultured Alphaproteobacteria bacterium
Lineage: Bacteria; Pseudomonadati; Pseudomonadota; Alphaproteobacteria
Description: bacterial SSU rRNA
Rfam family: Bacterial small subunit ribosomal RNA
Source: RNAcentral
AACGUACGCUGGCGGCACGCCUAACACAUGCAAGUCGAACGAAGUAGCAAUACUUAGUGGCAGACGGGUGAGUAACAUGUGGGUAUCUACCCUUUGGCCUGGAAUAACACGAGGAAACUUGUGCUAAUACCGGAUAAGUCUUUACGGAGAAAGCUUUAUGCACCAUUGGAUGAGCCCGCACUUGAUUAGUUUGUUGGUAGGGUAAUGGCCUACCAAGACUAUGAUCAAUAGCUGAUUUGAGAGGAUGAUCAGCCACAUUGGGACUGAGACACGGCCCAAACUCCUACGGGAGGCAGCAGUGGGGAAUCUUGCACAAUGGAGGAAACUCUGAUGCAGCGAUGCCGCGUGAGUGAAGAAGGCCUUUGGGUUGUAAAGCUCUUUCGUCGGGGAAGAAAAUGACUGUACCCGAAUAAGAAGGUCCGGCUAACUUCGUGCCAGCAGCCGCGGUAAUACGAAGGGACCUAGCGUAGUUCGGAAUUACUGGGCUUAAAGAGUUCGUAGGUGGUUGAAAAAGUUGGUGGUGAAAUCCCAGAGCUUAACUCUGGAACUGCCAUCAAAACUUUCCAGCUAGAGUAUGAUAGAGGAAAGCAGAAUUUCUAGUGUAGAGGUGAAAUUCGUAGAUAUUAGAAAGAAUACCAAUUGCGA